This 1269-nucleotide long non-coding RNA is filed under the name Equus asinus (donkey). Its description in RNAcentral is "lncRNA (ENSEASG00005029998.1)". The record is from RNAcentral. Lineage: Eukaryota; Metazoa; Chordata; Mammalia; Perissodactyla; Equidae.
CAGCAUCCAGGAAAGGUCGUUACUUUUCCAAAACACAAGUAGGACUUCACAAGCCUCAGCCUUGAAGAGUGUUCCUGGGAGCUUCCAGGCCCUUCAGGCAAAUGUGAAGAGCUCUUGUCCAGUGGAGGGGGUACUGAAGGGAUCCUCACCCGGGAGAGAGGGGAGGCGCUGUUUGGGUCUACUCCAGCGCAGAGCGAGGUCAAUCUAACAUGGCCACAGGAAGACGUAAGGACUUCCAAGACAGGAGAUCCUUCUGAGCGAAUUAUGAGGAACAGCAUCAAGAAGGAAGUGGCACCUGAACCAAGGCCUGUGAGAGAUCAAAUUCUACCUGCAAGCGUGUGAGGGACAGGUAUUCCUGGGCGAAGGGAGGGGAACAGGAAGAAAGUUAAAAGACGUGAUGAGGGAAUUAUCUGCCCUUUUUUUUUUCUUUUGUUAGUGUAAAUUGCUCCCCCACCCCCACCAAAAGGGGAAAAUAUCCCAGUUGCCAUCCUAGUGACUCCACUGGGUAUCCUCCCUCAGAUGCGCUCUCCACCCUCCAUCUUUUCCGUGGCCCCGUAGCCCGGCUUUUCAGCUCUCUGUCGACCAGUCUCCUUGCUCCUGGCUUUAGAUGGGUUCAGCCAAGAGAAGGCACAGGCAGGAGAUCACAGAGUGGAAGAAAGAGAGCAGGAGGUACUACACCUCCAGGUGCUCCUUGCCUCACUGUAGGUUGGCAGGGGCCGCAUUCCUUUACCAACAGUCAUGGCUUCCUUGACCAGCCCCUCCCUAUAACUAGUUUCUGGUCACUGCUCCCUUCCUGUUCACCAAGUUGUAAUAGCAACUCCCCAGCAUUACUAGCCCUGGGUGCUUCGUCAUCAUUUGUUGGUGUCGCUUAACACUGUCAGCACCUGUAUAUAAAAGUCCCUUCAUUAAGCUCUCCCCAGUCACCCCUUUUUGGUUUCCCAUCUGCUCCCUGCCAGGACUGUGAGUGACAUGGAGACCUUCAUAGUCAACUGAAGUUAGCCAAUGAUUGCUUUCAAUCUUCUUUGUCUGAUGUUUUCUUAUUCUUGGUUCUAAGUGUCUUAUUUUCUCAUCUUCAAAGAGUCACAUUAAUGAUACACUUCUCAUCAGACCUAUAAGUUGUAACUCUUUCACCUCUACCCUGAAGAGCGAGAUAUAUCUUUCAAAACGUUCGAACUGCACCAGUGACAAAAGAAAGAAUAGACAAAAAUUGGAUUUCACCAAAAUUAAAAUCUUUUGUGCUGCUUUAUCAAGAAAAUUAAAAGACAACCC